GUUUAUCCAAGACACCAGUGACUGCUGAUGUGCUCUUUUUUGUAGCCAAGGAAGAGGACUGGGACAGAUCUAAGUCUGUCUGAUUCAGAACCUGUGCUGAAAAACACGUUGACUGGACAGGCAAAGGUGAUAUUUGAGCCUUCUGAUUAUAUCAAGUACAAGCAAAUGGAGUGAUCUAUCCUUCAGAAGAAUGUUGUAUCAAAUUAAAGUUGUAUAGUUGAAAAUCAAAGUCAGUUCUGAAAAGGUGGUAUGUUCUUCGGUCUUAGGAAGUUUAUCUGUACCAUACUUACAGCACUGCAGCAUGAUUCUGAUGUCUGAAGGAACUCUUGAAGUUGCAAGCAUGAAUCAGUGUUAGUUUGGACAGUGGCAUCAGAGAUAGGAAGAAUCUGUCCCAAUGUGUUUCAGUAAUAUGAAGAAACUGGACAAAACAUGGAAAUAAAACCCUUUACAUGAAUAUUCA
This 460-nucleotide long non-coding RNA is filed under the name Anas platyrhynchos platyrhynchos (common mallard). RNAcentral describes it as "lncRNA (ENSAPLG00000019489.1)". The record is from RNAcentral. Lineage: Eukaryota; Metazoa; Chordata; Aves; Anseriformes; Anatidae.